Molecule: ribosomal RNA, 393 nt
Filed under: uncultured bacterium
Lineage: Bacteria
Description: partial 16S ribosomal RNA
Rfam family: Bacterial small subunit ribosomal RNA
Source: RNAcentral
AUACGGAGGAUCCGAGCGUUAUCCGGAUUUAUUGGGUUUAAAGGGAGCGUAGGUGGACAGUUAAGUCAGUUGUGAAAGUUUGCGGCUCGACCGUAAAAUUGCAGUUGAUACUGGCUGUCUUGAGUACAGUAGAGGUGGGCGGAAUUCGUGGUGUAGCGGUGAAAUGCUUAGAUAUCACGAAGAACUCCGAUUGCGAAGGCAGCUCACUGGACUGCAACUGACACUGAUGCUCGAAAGUGUGGGUAUCAAGCAGGAUUAGAUACCCUGGUAGUCCACACAGUAAACGAUGAAUACUCGCUGUUUGCGAUAUACAGUAAGCGGCCAAGCGAAAGCAUUAAGUAUUCCACCUGGGGAGUACGCCGGCAACGGUGAAACUCAAAGGAAUUGACGGGG